RNAcentral lists this unclassified non-coding RNA (253 nucleotides) under uncultured Gammaproteobacteria bacterium. RNAcentral's name for it is "contains 16S-23S intergenic spacer region". It matches the Rfam family "Bacterial small subunit ribosomal RNA", at positions 524 to 776 of the family's 1533-position model. Lineage: Bacteria; Pseudomonadati; Pseudomonadota; Gammaproteobacteria. The record is from RNAcentral.
UACAGAGGGUGCAAGCGUUAAUCGGAGUUACUGGGCGUAAAGGGCGCGUAGGCGGUUAGAUAAGUAAGAUUUGAAAUCCCCGGGCUUAACCUGGGAACAGGAUCUUAGACUAUAGGACUAGAGUGCAGUAGAGGGUGGUGGAAUUUCCGGUGUAGCGGUGAAAUGCGUAGAGAUCGGAAGGAACAUCAGUGGCGAAGGCGACCACCUGGACUGAGACUGACGCUGAGGCGCGAGAGCGUGGGGAGCAAACAGG